ACGGGAUCAGCCUUGGCUUCCGGCCUGACGAAUCGAGGAGGGACAUCAGCCGGGUUUGCGAUGGAAGCUGCAAGAGCUUGGACGCUCGGGACGUGAAUGGACGAUCCCAUACGCUGAAAGCUCGAUUUGGCCAUCUCGCGAAGCAAGCGCGCGCACACACACACCCCUUAACGAAGACUAACACCUCUCAGCUCGGUUGGUUUGGUCAGGUAGCAGCUUCGACAACAUUUAUAGAGAGAGAAGCUUCGCUUGGUUGUCUUGCUUCUCAGCCACUAAUCUGCCCACCAUUGUUGUCUACCAAAAAAGCUUAUCUCUUUGUAGUGGAUUUAGUCUCUCAUCAGCCAUAUGAUAGAAAUAAUAGAAGACAAGAACAAUAAUUGAAGAAGCUUUAUUGUAGAAAUGAAAUAGCUUUAGCUUGAAUCUAUUAACAUGUUCCCUCUCCUAUUUAUACAGAUUAGGAGGAAGGAUUUCCCUCAACAGAAUAAACAGAAUAGAGAGAUUUCCUCAUAUAAUUGGGAAAUCUUAUCCUUUAUCAAGUUGGAAAAAUCUUAUCUUCUAUCACCGUCGUCCUACCAAAGACAACUGUAGUAGUUAGUGUGACUUUUUUUGUAACAGUAGCAUAUGCAGAUAGAGUUGCAAGUGAGACUUUGACUUUACAAUGUACUUAAAAAUUGUAGUAAUUUGCUGUCAACUUUUUGUACCAAUAGCAUAUAUCGAACUACAAAGGGAUGAGUGGAAAGUGAGACUUAGUCUAUCCGCUGCAUGCUUACUUAGAAAUGUACUGAUCCGACCAAUAUUAUAAGCCAUGACUCUGCCACAUCAGCUGAUGACAACGUAUCAAAAUAUUAAGACAGUCUCCAUGUGUAAAAAUUUCUUUCUGCUACCUUCUAGAGGAACAUAGUGGCCACCAUUUAAUGUCCUCCUAUAAAGUAGUUCAAUUAUUCCUCACACGUCAGAAACCAAUAUUUUAUGGUUGUAUAAGUUUUAUUGUAUUCGUGUUGUUUCCCACUCGCUUUAGAAAUUUGCACUUAUGGUUGACAAAGCUCCACAUCUUAUCUCCGUAUUAUGUAUAUAUGCUAUUGCUGUCACAGUACUCCGACCACGGAUCGGUGGAUGUGUUGAAUCGAUGGUUCUAAGAUGUAACAUGCAACAAAGGUUGGACGCUCAAGAAUUCAUUCUGCAUUAAACUCUCAUCUUCUUCACUUACAUUAAAAAAUAGAAAAAAAAGACAUCAUGCGUCACCCCAGAAAUCUCAUUGGACAAGAGAGAUAGUAGGUCAAAUAAAAUUCCUCUCUCAUUUCUAUCAAUUCAAGUGUCUGACUUCUUGUCGGUGACGCUUGCUACAGAAAAUGCAGCUAGUUAUUGAUAAGCAUUCCGUGUUAAAAGAAAUAUAUUUUAUCUCACCAUAUGAAUGGAUAAUCUUCGUGUGAAUUGUAUGUCUAGAUUUUAAAUCAUAUAAGACAGACUAACAAAAAUGAGAUUGGACAACAGUGCGUUCCAAGAACUUGAGCUGUUAAGUCGUGCAUCCAAUCUUGGAUGCAAACAUGCUUUUCUUGCGGAUAGGACAGCAAUCACACACCACAUAAAUCAUCAUCGUGCAAGAUUCCAACAAGUUCAUCUUCCCUACCCUAGACACACUAUAGUGUACGAUGAUCUAAUCCUAUUAGCUAUAUUAACAGUAAAAGGUAGCAGCUGGGAGUAAUAAUGAUUAAACAGUCAGCUGUUCGAUUGCAAUAGGAAGAAUGACGUAUAAGAAGAGCAAAGAAAAAUCAUACACGGCACGCUAGGCAAGAGAAUGGAUGCAAAUUGAUUUAUAGUUGUUUAGUCUUUCCGACGUUUCCGAUUCCUCUUCUUUCAAGGUGAUCGACUUUCACUAUCGAUCUUCUUUCUAAUGAGUGAAGAUCAAUUAUCCUUAUUGUAGCUUUUCUCAUUUUAAAUGCUUAAAAUCACUUCUAAACUUAAAGAAAAAAGAAGAUAAACAUUUUUCAAAGAGAGUAGAGUUUAUAACACUUUUAUACUUAAGAAUUUAUACUCUAUCGAGUAAGUAUAAGUGAAGUAUUUAUAAACCUUAAAAGAUUUCAAGAAUAAAAUUAAAAGUUUAAAUUUUUAAAAUUUUAGAGUAUUAACAGUACUAUUAUCGUAAUGGGUCACAAAUCAAAAUUCUGACGGUACUACCAUCAGCCAUCGUCCUACCCUGAAGAAAACUGUAGUAGUUGGCUGUGACCUUUUUGUAACAGUAGCAUAUGCAGAUAGAGUUGCAAGUGAGACUUUGACUUUACAAUGUACUUAAAAAUUGUAGUAAUUUGCUGUCAACUUUUUGUACCAAUAGCAUAUAUCAAACUACAAAGGGAUGAGUGGAAAAUGAGACUUUGUCUUUCCGCUGCAUGGCUACUAAGAAAUGUACUGAUCCAACCAAUAUUACAGGCCAUGACUCUGUCGCAUCAGCUGAUGACAACGUAUCAAAAUAUUAAGACAGUCUCCUCGUGUAAGAAAUUUCUUUCUGCUGCCUUCUACAGGAACAUAGUUGCCUUCUACAGGAAUAUUUUAUGGUUGUAUAAGUUUUAUCGUAUUCGUGUUGUUUCCCACUUGCUUUAGAAAUUUGCACUUAGUGGUUGACAACACUCCCAUAUCUUCUCUCUGUAUUAUGUAUAUAUGCUAUUGCUGUCACAGUACUCCGACCUUGGAUUGGUGGAUGUGUUGAAUCGAUGGUUCUCAGUGUUACGGUAAGUAACUUUUUUGCCGUGACCUCGGGGUCGACGCGGUUGGUUCAGGGCUCCAAAUGGCUGGGAUCAGACGCAGCUCCCCUCGAGACGUUGCUGACGCAGGGGGGCUGGCUUGGAAAGUUCUGCGGCGCCGAAGGGAUCCAACGACGAUCGGGCACCUGCACACAGGUCGGGUCGGUAGCUCGGCCCAACCCCUCCGACGAUCAAGUUAGCGAUAAAGGAGAGGUGUUUCUUUGGGCAGAUCCCCUUGCCCGUUGGGAGCCAGGGGGUAUUUAUAAGCGGGUUUGAUGUUACCUGGUGCACCAAACUGCCGGGGUAGGGUCGUACCUCUGACGGCGUAUGUCAUCGUUGUGGACGUUGCGUGGAAGGCCGAGCUGCCGCAGGGUAUGGAGGGUGUCAGUCAGCGCCUUCGCCUGCCUCGGCCGGCCACAAGGGGUCAGCCGAGGAGGUUGUUCGGGUACAGUGGGUGUGGUCGCGCGUCGAGUCGUCGUUAAUGCUCGUUUUGGGGCAGUGGGCCGCAUAGGGUGUCCGACGUGGGGGUGCAUUACGUCAAAUCCGGGGUGUUACGUCAAAUCAGUUUUUUUUAACCCUAUCACUCAGAUGUAUCGUGCAACAAAGGAAAUUGGCCAAGAGAGAUACUUGGUCAAAUAAAAUUAUUAUUAUUAUUAUUAAAUAUUUACCCGACGCUUGCUACAGAAAACGCACCAAAUUAUUGAUCAAGCAUUCCGUGUCAUGAAGAAAUAUAUUUUAUCUCACCAUAUCAAUGGAUAAUCUUUGUAAGAAUUAUGUGUCUAGUUUUUAAAUCAAAUAAGACAGACUAACAUGAAUGAGAUUGGACAUCGAUGCGAUCCGAGACCCUGAGCUAUUUAGUCGUGCAUCCAACGUUUGAUGCACGAUGAUCUAAGAAUAGUCUACACGCAUGCUUUUCUUGCGGAUAGUAUAGCAAUCACAUCAUGCAAUGUUCCAACAAGUUCAUGUUCCCUAGACAUACUAAUGGUGUACGAUGAUCUAACCCUAGUAGCUAUUUUAACAGUAAAAGGUAGCAGCUGGGAGUAAUAAUAAUUGCACAUUCAUCUGUUUAUACUGCAAAUCGACUGUGUCUCAUUGAAAAGAUGAGAAGGGGAAGGGAACGAGAAGGCACAAAGGACGACUGAUGUCAGAUUAGGAGACACAAUUACUUAGAUGUGUCUUUUAAUGCAAUCAUGGAGCUAAGGAUAGCAGGACGGAUCCGGUCAGCAAGAGCUACUCUUUCUAAGAUCAAGAAGGAUUUCUCCUUCACAUAGCUCUGCAGUUAUUGAUCUACACAAGCAGCAAAACAUGACAGUUUCAGCAAUCGAUUGUAGUUAUCACGGCACAAAUGUGUCGGUGGUGGAUGCGGAUUAACAGAGCACUUAUCUGUCUGAUAACAUUGAUUGAUUUAAGAGGUACAACCAUAAGUAUACCUUACAGAACUGUGUUAUUUGCAGAAUUGUGUUAAAGCAUCGUGAGAGUCCACUUCACAUAGUAAUCAAUUAAAAGUAUUUUUUUUUCCCAGAAGCUACGCUCUCUCUUUUAUAAGAUUUCUCAAUCUUUUAUAACUUAGAAUCACUUUUUAAAGACUCUAACACUUUUUAAGAGAGAGUUUACAAUACUUUUAUACUUAAGAAUUUGUACUCUAUCAAAUAAAAAUAUUUAUAAAUUAUAUUAUAAACUCCAAAAGACUUCAAGAAUGAAACUAAAAAUUUAAAUUCUUAAAAUUUUAAGGUACUGAUGGUACUACUAUUGUAAUGAGACCAUAAAUUGAGGCUUUGAUAGUACUAUCAUCGGCCUAGGCGAUGCUGUUGUCGCCCGAAGAAGGGGCCGUUAGGGACGGCCGAUAUGGUCAACUCGGACCACUUGCCUUUGCAUGCGUCCAGCGCUGGUUUUACGCCAAACAACACUUACAAGACGGCAGCACACACAAUUGGUGGCAAAGCAACGCCUGAGGAGCAUCCAGAACUCCCCUUCCUAAAUUUUGCUUGCAUCCGUAGCAUCUAAAACCUGCUCAAGACUGGAUUUAUGAGAGCAAGGAGAAGAACCAGAUGCUGUUGUUGCAAGUUCAUGUGUUUAAUGAGCAAAGCGAGAGCUCAUCGCAAGGAGCCACCGAGCACGCAAGGUUCCAAGAGCUUCUCCGCCAAUCCCUCCUCUCGACACAUGGUCGUGCGCGUUUGGGGUCUCGGAUCGAAGUCAAAACCCCAUUUCUCCAGAUCGAGGUCAUGGGGAAGACAUAAUUGAACAGGAAGAAGACAAGCGUUAAGCUCGUUUCUAAGCUCAGCGUCGCCGCUCCCCGAUGGUCCGCCAGCGUUGAAAUCCUUGCGUUUUACUCCAAGGUUUGACCGUGCUGCUUAAGCGAAACCACAAGAAAUGUGAAGGAACGAGCCGAUGCCACACAUUUCAACGACAGCUUUCAGAGCAAAUGUGUAUAGGUUCAGCAACCCUGAUAUCUUAAUCCAAGUAACAUCUUCAUUGCUUGAGAAAACAAUGAAUUCAAGUCAAAACUGUUCCCAGAUCGAAACUAUAUUCUCCCUCUAGAUUAAGGAUAUCUAUGUUAGACUAUGAUAUACGAUGAAUUUGCACAAGCAAAGCAUUUAGUCAGAGAGAGAGAGAGAGAGAGAGAGAGAGGAUGUUUGGUGCAGCGGGGACGACGUCAUCGAUCUGACGCUCGGUUGAUGUCGGAUCUCGAUGAUGGAUCCGGUAUCGGAUUUUGGUCGGACCUUAUAUAUAAGUCCCGCUCUAAUUUUGGAUCGGAUCCUGAUCCGACCCUAGUUAUCUUUUGACCUCUCAUGAAUUGGGCCGUAUUUUCGGCUCGGCCCUUUGACAAGUAUCGGGCCGACAUGCCCCGGUUUGGUGUAUUAGAUGUGACGCCCGAUAUCUAUUUAUUUAUUUAUAUUCCAUGUUAGAAUAUUGUUAUCAAAGUCACUGUUCUUAUCGUUUGAUUUUAAUUCAACAGUUAAAAUUACUCCGAUAUUUAUUUAUUUCUUAUCAUUUGUGAGGAUGAGAUUAUUCCUUUACAUGUUGAAGAUUAUGAUUGAAAUCAUAAAAAUAGUUACUUUUAAAGAACAAGGUCACACUAAUGCAAGUGUUCCUUAUCAACUAUGAAAGAAAAUGAUCAUGCAAUACUAUUUAUAUAGUGUAUCAACUAGCCGACUAUUUAUAUAGUGUAUCAACUAGCCGAAAGAAGAACCUUUCCCGUAGUAUCCAUCAUUUUACUAAUUCUUUUUAUCUUUUAUGAUGGAUAAUUAUGAGGAUAAUAUAUAUAUAUAUAUAUAUAUAUAUAUAUAUAUAUAUAUAUAUAUAUAUAAAAGAGAAUUUUUAGUAUUUUCUUUCUGUUGAAGAAAAUAAUUAAAAAAUAAAAAUAAUAAAUAUAAAAUGAAUAAUAAAUCCCAUAAUAUCGAUGGCCUCAAAAAUAGAUAAAUGGAAAUGAUGAUGCAAUAGUAAAAAGUUUUUUUUUUUAAGUUAGCAAUGUAGAAUUAUGGACCUUUAGUUUUGAACUAAGGACAUAGAAAAGUUCAAUGGGACUCCGAGGUAGAGGGUCUAUCUUUCGGAGCAUUAUCUAUAUUAAGAUUGAUGUAAAGAGAAUUUUUUGACUUGGUCACUAUAAUGCUCAAGUUAAUGGUCGAGAAUUUAACGAAUAUGAGUUUUUUUUUUUUUUUCAAGGAAGAGAGACUCCGACAUUGUGCUAGGGUUAGCUUUUAUAUAUAGCCCAUUGAAAGGGUAGCCUCUAAUUGUCCCAAUAUUUCCUUUUAUAUUUUGUCCAUAUGGGCAACAAGAGGGAGACAAACUCAAUCGAUCUCUCUUAGACUCUUAUCAAAUGGGUGCAAACAAGCGAAUGGUGAUAUGGGCCUUUCCCAUCAGACUAACCUCCAUAUGGUGAUUAGAUGUCUGAUUAAAUGUCGAAUAAUGAUUGAUCAUCAAUAUAUUAUCUAUUAAAAUGUAAUAUAUUUUUACCUUCAAAUAUUUACUUCACAUUUUAUUUCAUGUUUGUUGAUAAGAUUAACAUGUCAUGAUUCAUGAUUACGAGAAACCAUCACCUCACACAAGGGAAGCUUUCGAGAGAGGAUCUCUCGAAAAUCCAUAUUUGUCAUGGAUCCUUCUAUCAUAUUGGAUGAAAAAAUCACUCUCUUCUCUUGCCUUCGAUGACAAAGACCAUCUCUUAUCGUACAAGGGGUUUGGUCAUUCAUCAACUUGGAUCAAUUACACACUUCUCUUGAUUGAGUACAAGAGAGAGAGUACGGUAGGAGGACUCUAUAAAUUAAUAACAAUGUCAUCUCUAUCAACAAGAAAUUCAGAGUGUCGAAGUCAAGAGUGUUUUUCAAGUUGAGCUUUAUUUAAGCUCAGACCAAGUUUUGAUGGAAGAUGAUGUUACUAAAGAAAUUAAGAGAACAACCUAAUAUGAAACCAAGGAUAUGACGAUUGUAGUAGACCGUCAUGUCUUUAGCAAAAACUAUAUUUAGAACAAGUUCCUCCUUGGUUUUUAUCAUUUUAGGAGAGUAUCGACUUCAACCGUUGACGAAGCUCAUAAGAUCUUAACCAUGUAAGUUACUAGGCUCAUCAAUGUGGGAAUCACAAUGAUACAACUUCGUAACCCAAUAAUAAAUCAAUGGUUGAUAGAUGAACGACGUUUUUAUUUUGGUAUAUUCACGUUACUGUGAAGAUGAUCAUCUAAUAAUUAUUAUUAUUGCUUUGUAGACUCAAAUUGCACUCAGUUUAAGUGCCUCAAGCCAACUUAUGCUUAUACUUCAUUAUUAACAUUUUUUUUUGGGAAAAAAGUAAAUAAUUUAUGAAUCUACUUAUCUAAAAAAAUAAAAAAAAUCAUUACAUCAAAUAAUGUACAUUCAGAUUUAUUACUUAUGCAACAAUACAUUAACCAAUCGGAAUAACACAACAAACACUAAGCCAACUCACUUUAAACGUACAAAGAUUCACACUAGAUAUUUAUUUGAUGCUUAUAAAGAAGAUACCGAAACACACUUAUUAUCAAGUUCAAGCAACACACCAUAAACUUUCUAUCAUUAGAAGCUUCUAUAGCUUGAGGCUUUCCAUGAGCCUCCUCCCUUCUAGUUUUGUGGAUAAAUAAGCUUUCAUGAACUCUCCAUAGCUCAUCGACACAUAUUUUGGAUUGCACCCCUUCACGAUCUCUGCAAGAGGACCAACCACCGCCGAAUAUUCUCUUGGCCCAUGGAAGGUAGCAAUCGAGAGACGCUCUUCCUUGACGUUUAUUAUCGCCUGAUGCUCGACGCUUUUGUACACACCAUUGCUCAAUAUCUAUUCCAAAAAUCUUUUGUUUUUGUUAGAAAAUAUUUAUAUGUAAGAAGAGAUUGAAAAAAAAAUCAAAAUAAUAAUUUUACAUUAGUAAAUAUUGAGAGAAUCUCGUAAUCUAUAAACAUAAUUUAUUUUUGAAUUGAAUUAGUGUCGCAUAUGAUUGAUAUAUGUUGAUUCUGACUAGAUUAAGUCGAGUUAAUGACCUCGAUGAUAUCACCGAUGUUAGCGAUGAGAGCGCCGGGGAGUGGCUUCACGGGGAACCAAUUCCCCCUCUUCCUGAUAUGGAGUCCUUCAACGUCGUUCACCUGUAGGAGUAACGUCAAGCCGCUGCCGUCCGUGUGUGGUGAGAGGCCCAACACCUCGUCAGCUCUUGGACAUGGGGGAUAAUAGUUGAACCUCACUGCCUGCGUUUGGUCCUGAAAUAUAGAAGAGAACUCCUCCGGUGCGACCCCCAGAUUCUUCGCCAUCACCUCCAGCAAAGUUCCUGCCACGCUCUUCAGCUCCAUGGAGUAGCAAGAGAGAGAGUCUCUGACGGCAUGAAGCAGCAGCAAAGGACGUCAUAUACGUACGUACGUAGAUGAACCGCUGAGUAGAUGAUAGCACAAGUAAUCGAGAUAAACCUGAAAGUGAGAGGUUGAGCGGGCCAGAGAUCGAUGUUCCUCGAGUGCAGUGGUCGAGUUAUGAGGGACAGCAUGUCCGCCCAGUCCAGCUUUUGGUCGUCAGACAUGACGAAGGCUUGGCCGUAACCUUCCAAGCUGUUCGGCAACUGCGCAAAUGCCUUCUUCUCUUCCAAGGGAAGCUUAAAGAAUUCUACUAUAUCAGCCUUGAUCUUCUCCAUCACUUGAUCGGGAACUCCGUGAUUUAUCAACUGUUAGUUAGCAUCAACGAUUGUUAUGUUGCAGCUAUGGAUCACACGGUUUCGAUGCGUAGAUCGACUGACCUGGAAGAAGCCCCAGUCUGCACAGGCAUGGUGGAGCUUAGCAUACUCUUCCUUAGAGAAACGGUGAUGGAGGAGCCUGGAGAAAUCGAUGACCGGAAGCUCGCUGUCGCCGUCGCUAACGACGGGAUCAGCCUUGGCUUCCGUCCUGACGUAUCGAGGAGGGACGUCAGCCGGGUUUGCGAUGGAAGCUGCAAGAGCUUGGACGUUCGGUACGUCAAUGGACGUUCCCAGACGCUGAAAGCUCGGUUUGGCCAUCUCGCGAGGCAAGCGCGCGCACACACCGCUUACGAAGACUAACACCUCUCAGCUCGGCUGGUU
Molecule: long non-coding RNA, 9261 nt
Filed under: Musa acuminata (dwarf banana)
Lineage: Eukaryota; Viridiplantae; Streptophyta; Magnoliopsida; Zingiberales; Musaceae
Description: long non-coding RNA (MACU_LNC006401)
Source: RNAcentral